Non-coding RNA from Pelobates cultripes (western spadefoot toad), 1481 nucleotides. The record is from the annotation of a GenBank genome assembly. Lineage: Eukaryota; Metazoa; Chordata; Amphibia; Anura; Pelobatidae.
GAUAAUUGGACAGAGCGAGACAGGCACCGGGGUAAGAGAAAUACCGGGCCAGAGCGAGACAGACACCGGGGUAAGAGAGAUACCAGGACAGAGCGAGACAGACACCGGGGUAAGAGAGAUACCGGGACAGAGCGACACAGACACCGGGGUAAGAGAGAUACCGGGACAGAGCAAGACAGACACCGGGGUAAGGGAGGUAAUUGGACAGAGUGAGACAGUCACUGGGAUAAGGUUGGUACUGAGACAGGUACUGGGACAGGAUGAGAUAUCAACACACUACCUUUCAACCUUUUUUGUUGGUAAAGCUACAUUUACACCUGUGUAAGAGUUGAUUCCAUACUGUGUGCAUCCCAUAUUUCAACUUUCACAGACAGGUUACCUUGAAUAUGUAGUAGUUGCAGAAUAUUCAUUAGUGAUCUUCCAAUAAAUCUCUGCUUAUAUUGGUGUUUACAGAGACGAUUUUCAAGAUGCCAGAGGUGAAAUCCAUGUUUCAUGAGGUGCUUCCUAAACAAGGUGAAAUACUAUCAAAUAUUCAUAAGUCUAUAGGGAAUUUAUAUCCCGAUUGUAACUUUUGUGAAUAACUUUAACUAGUUAUAGUGUCUAAUUUAGGCUUCAGACUGUUAACCAUAAAAUGCACAUUGAUGCACAAGAUUACAAGUUGUCAUAUGACAGGCUUGGUUUUAUUUUUCUAUUUAUUUAAAAUAAUGCUCAAACACUAAUAUAUUUAUGCAGAUAAUGCAUAAAUAUAAAUAUCCUGCAAUGGCCCGGCUUUCCCAGAGAUCUCCUGCUUCUUCAGCAACAUCCAUUGACGCAAGGAGCUGGGUGAGAUCUCUCAACCAACACUCCCCCCUCCGUAUUGGUUUUCUAGGUUCCUGUUACUUUAUAAAUAUGAAGUAUUAUUUCUUCUAACCAAUGUGGCUUCAAGUCUUCUAAUUCUGUUUUCGAUGUGUCCUUUCAUAGGACAGCUGUGUGUGGAGGAUCUCCCCACAAUGGUCUUAUGCAAACCAAAGUUGCUGCCUCUGAAAUCAGUGACCCUUGCCAAACUGGAAAAGAUGCAACGUGAUGCCCAGAACACUAUUCGCCAGCAGGAACUUGCUCAGAGCGAGCAACCCUUGAACCAGUCCUAAGAAUCUUGAUUGGUUCAUGUAAGAUGGUCGGAAUAUAGGCACAAAUUGAGCAGAAUGUUUAGUGAGAGUAAUGUGCUGCAUUAAUCGGUACAGGCAGUGUAAGAACUUCUAUUUUGCAAUCCCACCCUGAGAAAAUAAUUGCCCCAAAAGAUGAAAACACAAUAUUCUUUUCUUCUAAACUAUUCUUGUGAGACCUGUAUAGUACACUGCAAACCCACGCUUUGCUUAGUCUUCUAGCAUUCAGUUUAAAGUAUGUCUGUUUUAAAAGGGGUGCCUGCUUCUUGAUCACAUCACUAGAGCAAUUUAUGCACUUUGUAUUUAUACCUUAAUAAAGAGCAUUAAGAUGAAAAAUAA